Non-coding RNA from Aspergillus candidus, 85 nucleotides. The record is from the annotation of a RefSeq genome assembly. NCBI's taxonomy places the organism in Eukaryota, Fungi, Ascomycota, Eurotiomycetes, Eurotiales, Aspergillaceae.
GCCCGGAUGGUCUAGUGGUAUGAUUCUCGCUUUGGGUUACCACCUAAUCUGCGAGAGGCCCCGCGUUCGAAUCGCGGUUCGGGCC